CUAACUCGUGUCUUUUUUUUCAGAUUUUAACGACUAGCAGUGCCAGUAAUUAUACAUGACUUCUCAAACGGGCGACACCUUGAAAAGAGAAGCAUCUGGACAGAAUGUUUAGUGGGAGUCUGUAACGCUGCUUGAAAGAAUAAUGGAGUAGUCAUUGAAGAAUAUAAAAGAAAAACCUUUCAAUCUGUCAAGAAUUUACAGGUAA
Long non-coding RNA from Photinus pyralis (common eastern firefly), 205 nucleotides. RefSeq lists it as uncharacterized. NCBI's taxonomy places the organism in Eukaryota, Metazoa, Arthropoda, Insecta, Coleoptera, Lampyridae. The record is from RefSeq and is a predicted model, not a curated record. The transcript is spliced from 3 exons.